GAGAGGGAGAUCUGUACAGUAAUAUCAAUCGGCUAAUUGUGCUACAGAUUCCCGCCCCUCCAAUGGUUGUACUACUGAUCGAAGAGGAGGAUUUAUCAGGAGCCCUGCUGCGGUUAUGUUGCAUAGUCAAGUACGGACAGAUUGCCUCUUUAAAGAACAUUGGCAGGAAAUUCGACGCUCGUGCCCUGAUGUCCAAGAAAAAGUGAGGCGUCAUUUGCUCUCUUCCAAUUUGUGUGAACCAUUCUGCAACCUACGGAAUUUUGGAAGAUGAUGAACAGUGCGCCUGCCUGAAAGACUACGGAUCAAGUUCUGGAAUUUGGGCAGCUAUUUUCCAGCCGGCACGGACUCCAUCUUCUAUGUCGUCAACUCUACGAUUCCUUGAAACUGGCAAGACGUCUGAUUCACACAACACAGUGGAAACCUGGAGCGAUCUCCCCAA
Amblyraja radiata (thorny skate) is the source of this 439-nucleotide long non-coding RNA. RefSeq lists it as uncharacterized. NCBI's taxonomy places the organism in Eukaryota, Metazoa, Chordata, Chondrichthyes, Rajiformes, Rajidae. The transcript is spliced from 4 exons. The record is from RefSeq and is a predicted model, not a curated record.